RNAcentral lists this transfer RNA (85 nucleotides) under Felis catus (domestic cat). It matches the Rfam family "tRNA". Rfam says of the family: Transfer RNA (tRNA) molecules are approximately 80 nucleotides in length. Their secondary structure includes four short double-helical elements and three loops (D, anti-codon, and T loops). The record is from Rfam by way of RNAcentral. RNAcentral also lists the same sequence under 2 other names. Lineage: Eukaryota; Metazoa; Chordata; Mammalia; Carnivora; Felidae.
GCCUGGGUAGCUCAGUUGGUUAAGCAUCUGACUUUGGCUCAGGUCAUGAUCUCACGGUUUGUGGGUUUGAGCCCUGCAUCAGGCU